UACAGAGGUCUCAAGCGUUGUUCGGAUUCAUUGGGCGUAAAGGGUGCGUAGGUGGCGCGCUAAGUCGGGUGUGAAAUCUCGGAGCUUAACUCCGAAACUGCAUUCGAUACUGGCGUGCUCGAGGACUGAAGAGGAGACUGGAAUUUACGGUGUAGCAGUGAAAUGCGUAGAUAUCGUAAGGAAGACCAGUGGCGAAGGCGGGUCUCUGGGCAGUUCCCGACACUGAGGCACGAAGGCCAGGGGAGCAAACGGG
RNAcentral lists this ribosomal RNA (253 nucleotides) under uncultured bacterium. RNAcentral describes it as "partial 16S ribosomal RNA". It matches the Rfam family "Bacterial small subunit ribosomal RNA", at positions 524 to 776 of the family's 1533-position model. The record is from RNAcentral.